Molecule: long non-coding RNA, 526 nt
Filed under: Vigna radiata
Lineage: Eukaryota; Viridiplantae; Streptophyta; Magnoliopsida; Fabales; Fabaceae
Description: long non-coding RNA (VRAD_LNC004595)
Source: RNAcentral
CACAAGUCAAAAUUUAUCUUUUUAAUUUUUAUAUAGAACAACAUAUUUUCUAUCCUAUGAUUUAUGACACUAGCUAUUACUACACAAACUAACACAAAAAAUCUAUAACUACAAUUUAAGAGCAAUGAAAAGAAAAAGCUUAUUGUUUUUGGUUUCUUGUGUUUGGCUCCUCUAUGUAGAUUUUCCAGGAUUGCACUGCAUUCAUUCUUCUCAGGUCUCCAUUGCAGCAACACCUGCUCUCCAUUCAGCUCUGGCUGCUGAUUUUGCUCGUUCCAGGUUCCUUGAGUCUUAUUGAGACCAUCCCCUGCUUCCACCAAGUUUGCCUCAGUGCCUGCAACUUCCUUCUCGUUGAACUCUACAGACUCAACAAAUUCAGCAGUUGCAUCAUCCAAAUUCUCAUGGAAAAUACUGUCAAGAUCAGUGCCUAAAUUGUCAACAGCAGCAGGGAUGUCAGAAUGCUCUAUAGAAUAUGUUGAAUCAAGAUGAUGAGGAUGCACAAGGAUAUCAACACCAGUAUUAAUGAUGG